This 72-nucleotide transfer RNA is filed under the name Schistosoma mansoni. The record is from RNAcentral. Lineage: Eukaryota; Metazoa; Platyhelminthes; Trematoda; Strigeidida; Schistosomatidae.
GGCUCAAUGGCCUAGAGGUUGGGCAUCUGCGCAUGAGACCGGAAGUCCUAGGUUCGAAUCGUGGUCGAGCAC